CAUCGUACUGUCGGGGGUCGGCUCGCCGGCCCUGUCUGCACAUUACCCAUGUUUUUUGCGUACCUAUUGUUUCCUCGGCAGGCUUGCCUGCCAGUAGGACCCCAACCAACCCUUUGCAAUAGCAGUCAGCGUCAGAAAAAACACAAUAGUUA
Molecule: unclassified non-coding RNA, 152 nt
Filed under: uncultured fungus
Lineage: Eukaryota; Fungi
Description: sequence contains ITS1, 5.8S rRNA gene
Source: RNAcentral